CUGAAAUAUAGAUGGUAAUUCAGACGACAAUGAC
This 34-nucleotide small RNA is filed under the name Bombyx mori (domestic silkworm). RNAcentral describes it as "ovarian small RNA-14772". Lineage: Eukaryota; Metazoa; Arthropoda; Insecta; Lepidoptera; Bombycidae. The record is from RNAcentral.